Molecule: non-coding RNA, 113 nt
Organism: Trachymyrmex cornetzi
Lineage: Eukaryota; Metazoa; Arthropoda; Insecta; Hymenoptera; Formicidae
Source: Rfam
GUAGGUUACAGCGACAUGACACCGAAAACUUUUCCCGGCAUGUUUAUCGGUAGACUGUGUGUUCUCGCCAGUGUCUUGACCAUUCCUCUUCUAGUUCCGGUAUUGUCAGCAAC